RNAcentral lists this ribosomal RNA (408 nucleotides) under Mesorhizobium sp. R-46044. RNAcentral describes it as "bacterial SSU rRNA". It matches the Rfam family "Bacterial small subunit ribosomal RNA", at positions 21 to 477 of the family's 1533-position model. The record is from RNAcentral. Lineage: Bacteria; Pseudomonadati; Pseudomonadota; Alphaproteobacteria; Hyphomicrobiales; Phyllobacteriaceae.
GGCUCAGAACGAACGCUGGCGGCAGGCUUAACACAUGCAAGUCGAGCGCCUCGCAAGAGGAGCGGCAGACGGGUGAGUAACGCGUGGGAAUCUACCCAUCUCUACGGAACAACUCCGGGAAACUGGAGCUAAUACCGUAUACGUCCUUCGGGAGAAAGAUUUAUCGGAGAUGGAUGAGCCCGCGUUGGAUUAGCUAGUUGGUGGGGUAAUGGCCUACCAAGGCGACGAUCCAUAGCUGGUCUGAGAGGAUGAUCAGCCACAUUGGGACUGAGACACGGCCCAAACUCCUACGGGAGGCAGCAGUGGGGAAUAUUGGACAAUGGGCGAAAGCCUGAUCCAGCCAUGCCGCGUGAGUGAUGAAGGCCCUAGGGUUGUAAAGCUCUUUCAACGGUGAAGAUAAUGACGGUA